This 497-nucleotide ribosomal RNA is filed under the name uncultured bacterium. RNAcentral describes it as "partial 16S ribosomal RNA". It matches the Rfam family "Bacterial small subunit ribosomal RNA", at positions 35 to 507 of the family's 1533-position model. The record is from RNAcentral.
GGGGGGGGGGGGGGGGGGGGGGGGGGGGGGGGGGGGGGGCGGAGGGGCGGGGGGCUUGCUUCUCUGAUGUUGGCGGCGGACGGGUGAGUAACGCGUGGAAAACCUACCUGUAAGACUGGGAUACGUUCGGGAAACCGGCGCUAGUCCCGGAUACUAUUUUGAACCGCAUGGUUCACAAGUGCAAGACGGUCUUGCUGUCACUUAUCGAUGGAUCCGCGCUGCGUUCGCGAGUGCGGAAGGUAACGGCUUACCAAGUCAACUCUGCAUACCCGCCCUUCGAGGGUGAUCGGCCGCACUGGAACUGAGACACGGUCCAGACUCAUACGGGAGGCAGCAGAAGGGAAUCUUCCGCAAUGGGCGAAAGCCUGACGGAGCAACGCCGCGCGAGUGAUGAAGGUCUUCGGAUCGUAAAACUCUGUUAUUAGGGAAGAACAUAUGUGUAAGUAACUGUGCACAUCUUGACGGUACCUAAUCAGAAAGCCACGGCUAACUACGUG